Molecule: long non-coding RNA, 978 nt
Organism: Echinops telfairi (small Madagascar hedgehog)
Lineage: Eukaryota; Metazoa; Chordata; Mammalia; Afrosoricida; Tenrecidae
Exons: 3
Source: RefSeq, a predicted model, not a curated record
UCAGCUCUGGCCGCCGUGGGCACGCACAGAACAAGCUCACCGUGCCCUUCAGUGGACUUACCUUACCAGCAGGAGCCCGCAGAAGGUUCCAGCCACGAGGCCAGGUCCUUUGGAAGGUCUGGAAGAAUCAACAGCUGCAGGAUCAUCUGGUGCAACAGUGGGAAGGAACCUACAAACGUCUCCAGAAGACUUACUCCUUCCUCCCUAAAGUUAGCCGGAGUGAAGGCUUGGGUCCAUUACACCCAAUUAAAAGGAGGUCCAUUUGAACCAGUCCAACAGCCAGCUUCUGGCACCUUGGUCCUGCAAACUUCUCCAAGACUUAAAGUACAGCUCCACCAACAAGAUGAUCAAUUGGUUCAAAAUAUGGUGUUUGCACUUCUAUCAUAAGGCAUGCUGUGCAUAGAUAACCACCUCAGCAGAAGAAGAACUAGCACUGACAUCUAUCUCCCAGGUACCUACUUGGACUCAGCACCCACUUUGGUAAUAUUUUGGGUGAAUCUGGCUAGAAAGUGUUUUACCUAUUUGGGGAUCCUGGCUAACGCCUUUAGUGACUGCAGUAGUUCUUCCAUACAACUGUCUGCAGGGUCUAGCAAAAUAAAGGCAGAAGGCGUAACCACAAAUGCCCAAGUAAACUAAUGCUUUUUCAUUGCCUAACUUACCCUAUCCUUUUCUGCAGACUGAUAAAAGUUGUCGAAUCCAACAAGAAGUAAAUGCUUUCUGCUAGUUGGCAGAACCCUGGAUGGCUGAUCACCCUACCCCCAUAAAUCCUUAUCUACGCCCUCAAUCAGCAGGAAGUAGCCAGACAAGAACAUCGUCCCAUUUCCCCAAAAUGGAAAACUACCCAAAAAAGGAGCUGAUGCCGUACAAAGCCAAGAUGACUCCAUUUUUUAAAAAUGCCAACCCCGACCCAUCAUUCCUAUGACCGCCUAACCAUUACCCCUUAGGACUGUUGCUGAAAUAAAGAAAAACAUCCAUGUG